GUGGUGAAUCUUGCGCAAUGGGCGAAAGCCUGACGCAGCCAUGCCGCGUGAAUGAUGAAGGUCUUAGGAUUGUAAAAUUCUUUCACCGGGGACGAUAAUGACGGUACCCGGAGAAGAAGCCCCGGCUAACUUCGUGCCAGCAGCCGCGGUAAUACGAAGGGGGCUAGCGUUGCUCGGAAUUACUGGGCGUAAAGGGCGCGUAGGCGGACAGUUUAGUCAGAGGUGAAAGCCCAGGGCUCAACCUUGGAAUUGCCUUUGAUACUGGCUGUCUUGAGUACGGGAGAGGUGAGUGGAACUCCGAGUGUAGAGGUGAAAUUCGUAGAUAUUCGGAAGAACACCAGUGGCGAAGGCGACUCACUGGCCCGUUACUGACGCUGAGGCGCGAAAGCGUGGGGAGCAAACAGGAUUAGAUACCCUAGUAGUCC
Molecule: ribosomal RNA, 425 nt
Filed under: uncultured bacterium
Lineage: Bacteria
Description: partial 16S ribosomal RNA
Rfam family: Bacterial small subunit ribosomal RNA
Source: RNAcentral